AUUUUGUUUCCGGAAGCAACAUGUAUUUUUUGACGCUGUGUAGCCACAGAAUGUGAGAAAGACUGGCACGGGAGGAGGAGAAGAGAUUGUAGACGUGAGGGAUCGAUUUAAAGACCAGUAUUGUCAGGUGGCACAGAGUCUUUGAAGACACCGUCCACUUACCCCAGGCUGUUCCGCUGGAUUUGGAAACGUUUCCCAGAGGGUAACCGUAUAUUUGACCCGAUACAGGAUGUCUGGGCAGAGCAUUACUGACAGGAUAACCGCCGCUCAGCACAGUGUCACCGGGUCGGCGAUUUCGAAAACUGUGUGCAAGGCGACCACGCAUGAAAUAAUGGGGCCAAAAAAGAAACACUUGGAUUACUUGAUUCAGUGCACAAAUGAGAUGAAUGUGAACAUCCCUCAGCUGGCUGACACACUGUUUGAGAGGACCACGAACACCAGCUGGGUGGUUGUCUUCAAGUCCCUCACAACCACACACCAUCUGAUGGUCUAUGGCAAUGAGAGAUUUAUACAGUAUCUGGCUUCAAGGAACACACUCUUCAACCUAAGCAAUUUUUUGGACAAAAGUGGCCUACAAGGCUAUGAUAUGUCAACAUUCAUUAGGAGGUAUAGCCGCUACCUGAACGAGAAGGCUGUGUCCUACAGACAAGUUGCUUUUGACUUCACCAAAGUGAAAAGAGGGUCUGAUGGAGUGAUGAGAACCAUGAACACAGAGAAACUCCUCAAGACGAUCCCAAUCAUCCAAAACCAGAUGGAUGUGUUACUCGAUUUCAAUGUCAAUGCUAAUGAACUGACAAAUGGUGUGAUCAACGCAGCUUUCAUGCUUCUGUUCAAAGACGCAAUCCGACUGUUUGCAGCAUACAAUGAAGGCAUUAUCAACCUCCUGGAGAAGUACUUUGACAUGAAGAAAGUUCAGUGCAAAGAAGGACUUGACAUCUACAAGAAGUUUCUUACUCGAAUGACAAGAAUCUCUGAGUUCCUCAAAGUUGCAGAGCAAGUGGGAAUUGAUCGAGGGGACAUCCCAGAUCUGUCUCAGUUCACAGUUUGUGCCCCAAGCAGCCUGCUGGAUGCCCUGGAGCAGCACUUGGCCUCUUUAGAGGGAAAGAAAGUCAAAGACUCAACUGCAGCCAGCAGGGCUACUACCCUCUCCAAUGCUGUGUCCUCCCUGGCCAACACUGGCAUAUCUUUCACCAAAGUGGAUGAGAGGGAAAAACAGGCGGCCCUGGAAGAAGAGCAGGCUCGCCUAAAGGCACUAAAAGAGCAACGUCUGAAAGAGCUCCAGAAGAAUCCUGCAAUAGCAACCACAGACUCCUCCCCUUUAUCCACAACGGGUGGUACUAUCAACGUAGCCCCGUCCAUUGAUCUCUUCUCCACCACUGGCUCCACCAACAGCAACUCCAAGGCUGCCAAUGACCUGCUGGAACUGCAGCCAGCUUUCCAGCAGCCACUGCCUGUCUCCAGCUCAAACUCAUGGGGAGACUCCUUCUGUGGGCCAGGCCCUUACAACACCGCUCCUCUCUUCCAAUCUGAGCCCCCUGCCGUAGCUGGUCUGUUCAGAGGAUUUACAGCCUCCCCGACACCCCAGCAGCCACAUAAUUCUAGAGGCCUUAACAUUGACUUUGACUCAGUAUUUGGAAACAACACCAAUGCCAACAACCUGGAUUCUACAGAUGUUUUAGGUUGCAUCCUUAAACCCGAAGUGGCAUCCUCACCCAAUCAGGGCAUGACUCUACAUGGCCAACAGCCCCAAAAACUGGUGUCCAGUGACCUGGACUCAUCACUGGCCAAUCUUGUCGGCAAUCUGGCAAUUGGCAAUGGCACAGCAAAGAAUGAUCUUCACUGGAGUCAGCCUGGUGAGAAGAAACUAACUGGUGGAACCAACUGGCAACCCAAGACUGCCCCUUCUACCACCUGGAACCCAGCAGCCAUGGCACCAUCUGUCAUGACCUUCCCAGCAACCACACCAACAGGCAUGAUGGCAUAUGCAAUGCCUCCCCACAUGAGCUCCAUGAUGAUGACACAGCCAACUAUGAUUUACACCCAGCCUGUGAUGAGGCCAGCCAACCCCUUUGGCCCCAAUCCAGGUGCACAGCACUUACCUGCAAGAUGCUGACACAAUUGACUCCCCAGCUGGCUGCUUUGCACACCCUGCAAAUGUCUCAUCCCCUACUGAAUAAGGAUUGGAUGUGGGAGUUUGAGAACUACACUUGUAGUUUCAUGCAGAUGCAGUUUAUGUGACGGGGGCGGGGGGGAUCUUCCCAUUUAAAGAUAAUUCAUGACAAACUUAACAAUCCAAGCAAACAUGCAGUGUGCUUCUAAUGAAGUCACGUCUCUCUGAGAAUGAAAGGCCCAAAUAAGACUUGAAUAAAAUUAUGGUGACUAGGAGCCACUCUGGCCAUCUCAGAGAGGCAUAGUAGUGGACAUUGUGCCUGUUUAAGUCAUAGAAGAUGACGAAGAAGAAGAAGAAGCGUGCGUGCUGCCAUUCAAAACUAUGUGGACAUGGAUCAGCCCCUACUUUAUCCUGGACUCAGAGAAACACCCAAUGGAAGAGCAUUCUGACAUCACUGUUGAUGUACCUGGAAAAAAUACACAUCUAGUUGGGUUGUUGUCACACUGUUUGGAUUGUCAUUUUUUGUUCCUCUUUCUCCAGGUGAGGCUUGAAGUAACUGUUUUGAUUAUUAAUCAUGAUUACCUGCUUAAAGUUUGCCCAGAUUAGGAAAACAAUUGCAACUCCUUGUAAUAGCACAUAUUUUUGUUUUCUUUCUUUUUGUUAUGUAUUGUUUGGAGUAGACAUUCCUUGUGUAUCAUUUGUAUUUAUUUAUGAUUACCUACAGAGAGGAUGACAUUUAAAAAAAGAAAUGUAAAUGUAACUAGUCACUGACCUCCAGCUUGUGGAAGGUCUUCAGGUUUAUACAUUGGUAUGAUUGAUUGUAGAUUUGGAUUUUGAGUGUUUGAGAUGAUUUUUCUUUUUUUCUAAAAGUUAAUAUAAAGUUUGAAAAGAUGACACACUUUGCUGUUUGGGCACUAAAUUCUCUGUGCUCAGAUGAUGCCUUGUACAGUUAUCUGUGGUUCGUACUGAGGAUGUGUAUGGACAUAGUAAUUCAUUAACUGUCAAAUUAGUGGGGUCAUUUUGUAUGAAUUUGGGGGCAUUUUUCACAUCAGCAAAAGCACUACAUUUUGUGACUGAGGCGACACUGCAUUCGAAAGGAAUCUGCAUUUAUGCUUAUGAUGCUUUUGGCAUGCCAUUUAUUCUUACAUUUAACAAAGCUGCUGGCUGCCUUUUUCUUGCCCUUAACUUAAAUGUGCAGGGUCUCUUUGAUGCUCACAUCAUGUUUCCAUAGGCCAGCACUGUUUGGACAAUCUGUGGGCUUUGGAGGAUUUGGCUGUACAUUCAGGACAGACUGGUAACAGAGGGGUGGUGAUGUGGAUGGGGUCGUGGGCAUGCUAGUUGUGCAGGAGAAUAGAGCACUGUUGAUCGGUGCUUUGUGUAAAUAAACAUCCGGCCUACCACAUGAAUGGGACGAGUAAAAGAAGAUGGUCUGGACAUAAACGUGACCCUUACUACAUUAACCCAGCAUAAUUUCUGCAUUGUCCCUGCAGACUAUAUUUUUGUUUGUUUGAUUUUUCCAAUAAAGUGCAAGCUUCAACA
This is an RNA transcript of Acanthopagrus latus (yellowfin seabream), 3649 nucleotides long. It is a transcript of the gene named phosphatidylinositol binding clathrin assembly protein a, with no coding region annotated. The transcript is spliced from 23 exons. NCBI's taxonomy places the organism in Eukaryota, Metazoa, Chordata, Actinopteri, Spariformes, Sparidae. The record is from RefSeq and is a predicted model, not a curated record.